UCCGUAGGCGGACUAAUAAGUCAGGGGUGAAAUCCCACAGCUCAACUGUGGAACUGCCUUUGAUACUGUUAGUCUUGAGUUAUAUGGAAGUAGAUAGAAUGUGUAGUGUAGCGGUGAAAUGCUUAGAGAUUAUACAGAAUACCGAUUGCGAAGGCAGUCUACUACGUAUAUACUGACGCUAAUGGACGAAAGCGUGGGGAGCGAACAGGAUUAGAUACCCUGGUAGUCC
RNAcentral lists this ribosomal RNA (229 nucleotides) under uncultured bacterium. RNAcentral's name for it is "partial 16S ribosomal RNA". It matches the Rfam family "Bacterial small subunit ribosomal RNA", at positions 568 to 796 of the family's 1533-position model. The record is from RNAcentral.